This 508-nucleotide ribosomal RNA is filed under the name uncultured bacterium. RNAcentral describes it as "bacterial SSU rRNA". It matches the Rfam family "Bacterial small subunit ribosomal RNA", at positions 17 to 518 of the family's 1533-position model. The record is from RNAcentral.
UCCUGGCUCAGGAUGAACGCUGGCGGCGUGCUAACACAUGCAAGUCGAACGGGGUUGCUGGUGAAGCUAAAGGGCUUGCCUGGAGGUGGAACCGGUAAACUAGUGGCGGACGGGUGAGUAACGCGUGGGUAACCUACCUCAUACAGGGGGAUAGCGGCUGGAAACGGCCGGUAAAACCGCAUAAAGCGGCAGCAGGGCAUCCUGCAACCGCCAAACAUUUAUGGGUAUGAGAUGGGCCCGCGUCUGAUUAGGCAGUUGGCGAGGCAAAGGCUCACCAAACCUACGAUCAGUAGCCGGCCUGAGAGGGUGAACGGCCACAUUGGGACUGAGACACGGCCCAAACUCCUACGGGAGGCAGCAGUGGGGAAUAUUGGACAAUGGGGGGAACCCUGAUCCAGCCGACGCCGCGUGAGUGAAGAAGUAUUUCGGUAUGUAAAGCUCUAUCAGCAGGGAAGAUGAUGACGGUACCUGACUAAGAAGCCCCGGCUAACUACGUGCCAGCAGCCGC